AGUUUGAUCAUGGCUCCGUUGAACGCUGGCGGGAUGCUUUACACGCCGUCGAACGGCAGCCUGGACUUCGGUCUGGUGGCGAGUGGCGAACGGGUGAGUAAUGUAUCAGGAACGUGCUAGUAGCGGGGAUAACUACGCGAAAGCGUAGCUAAUACCAUAACAUACGCCCUUCGGGAAGCGGGGACCUUCACGGGCCUCGCACUAUUAGAGCGGCCGAUAUCGGAUUAGCUAGUUGGUGGGGGUAACGGCUCACCAGGCGACGAUCCAUGUGGUUUUGAAGGACGACCAACCACACUGGGACUGAGACACGGCCCGAACUCCUACGGGAGGCAGCAGUGGGGAAUUUUUGGACAAUGGAAACCCUGAUCCAGCCUUAACGUGUGCGAUGAAGGCCUUCCGGGUUGUAAAGCACUUUUGGCAGAAGAAACGGCACGGAUAUGCCCGUGCAGCUGACGGUACCUGCAGAAUAAGCACCGGCUAACUACGUGCCAGCAGCCGCGGUAAUACAUCAGAGGUGCAAGCGUUAAUCAGAAUUACUGGGCGUAAAGCGUGCGCAACGGUUCGGAAAAGAAAAGAUGUGAAAUCCCAGAGCUUAACUUUGGAACUGCAUUUUUAACUACCGAGCUAGAGUGUGUCAGAGGAGGUGGAAUUCCGCGUCUUAACAGUGAAAUGCGUAGAUAUGCGGAGGAACACCGAUAGCGAAGAGCAGCCUCCUGGGAUAACACUGACGCUCAUGCACGAAAGCGUGGGAGUAAACAGGAUUAGAUACCCUGGUAGUCCACGCCCUAAACGAUGUCAACUAGCUGUUGGACUUUACGGACCUUGGUGGCGCUAACGCGUGAAGUUGACCGCCUGGGAAGUACGGUCGCAGAUUAAAAACUCAAAGGAAUUGACGGGGACCGCACAAGCGGUGGAUGAUGUGGAUUAAUUCGAUGCAACGCGAAAAGCCUUACCUACCCUUGACAUGUCUGGAAUCCGAAGAAGAUUUGAGUGCUCGCAAGAGAACCGGAACACAGGUGCUGCAUGGCUGUCGUCAGCUCGUGUCGUGAGAUGUUGGGUUAAGUCGCAACAGCGCAACCGCUUGUCAUUAGUUGCUACGAAAGGGCACUCUAAUGAGACUGCCGGUGACAAACCGGAGGAAGGUCGAGGAUGACGUCAGAACUCAUGGCCCUUAUGGGUAGGGCUUCACACGUCAUACAAUGGAUGAGACAGAGGUCGCCAACCCGCGAGGACAAUCGAAGCGAUCAAUAGUCCGGAUCGCAGUCUGCAACUCGACUGCGUGAAGUCGGAAUCGCUAGUAAUCGCGGAUCAGCAUGUCGCGGUGAAUACGUUCCCGGGUCUUGUACCCACCGCCCGUCACACCAUGGGAGUGGGUUUUACCAGAAGCGUUAGCUAACCUGUGGAGGGCGAUUACCACAGUAGGAUUUCAUGACUGGGGUGAAGUCGUAACAAGGUAA
RNAcentral lists this ribosomal RNA (1457 nucleotides) under uncultured Bordetella sp. RNAcentral's name for it is "partial 16S-23S ribosomal RNA intergenic spacer". It matches the Rfam family "Bacterial small subunit ribosomal RNA". Lineage: Bacteria; Pseudomonadati; Pseudomonadota; Betaproteobacteria; Burkholderiales; Alcaligenaceae. The record is from RNAcentral.